GAUGAACGCUGGCGGCGUGCCUAAUACAUGCAAGUCGAGCGAACAGACGAGGAGCUUGCUCCUCUGACGUUAGCGGCGGACGGGUGAGUAACACGUGGAUAACCUACUUAUAAGACUGGGAUAACUUCGGGAAACCGGAGCUAAUACCGGAUAAUAUAUUGAACCGCAUGGUUCAAUAGGGAAAGACGGUUUUGCUGUCACUUAUAGAUGGAUCCGCGCCGCAUUAGCUAGUUGGGAAGGGAACGGCUUACCAAGGCGACGAUGCGUAGCCGACCUGAGAGGGGGAUCGGCCACCCUGGGACUGAGACACGGUCCAGGCUCCUACGGGAGGCAGCAGUAGGGAAUCUUCCGCAAUGGGCGAAAGCCUGACGGAGCAACGCCGCGUGAGUGAUGAAGGUGUUCGGAUCGUAAAACUCUGUUUUUAGGGAAGAACAAAUUCUGGAGUAACUGAUGACGUCUUGACGGUACCUAAUCAGAAAGCCACGGCUAACUACGUG
RNAcentral lists this ribosomal RNA (497 nucleotides) under uncultured bacterium. Its description in RNAcentral is "partial 16S ribosomal RNA". It matches the Rfam family "Bacterial small subunit ribosomal RNA", at positions 28 to 507 of the family's 1533-position model. The record is from RNAcentral.